Molecule: ribosomal RNA, 236 nt
Filed under: uncultured bacterium
Lineage: Bacteria
Description: partial 16S ribosomal RNA
Rfam family: Bacterial small subunit ribosomal RNA
Source: RNAcentral
UACGGGGGGAGCAAGCGUUGUUCGGAUUUACUGGGCGUAAAGGGCGCGUAGGCGGUCGUGACAAGUCACUUGUGAAAUCUCCGGGCUUAACUCGGAACGGUCAAGUGAUACUGUCGGACUAGAGUACAGAAGGGGCAACUGGAAUUCUCGGGUGUAGCGGUGAAAUGCGUAGAUAUCGGGAGGGACACCAGUGGCGAAGGCGACUACCUGGCCUGUUCUUGACGCUGAGGCGCGAA